AUUCUAUGGUCCUGAAGCCCAGAAUUCAAAACAAAGCAAGAAAGUGGGGUGCGAAUUAAAACAGGGGUUUCAUGCAAUAGUUUGAUGGCCCAAGGCCUUUGAGCCCAACCGAGGAAGCCACAUGAGAGGGAGAGGACCAGAUUAGAACACAUUCAUCCUGGUUUUUUUACUCAAGCACGCUUCUUUAUGCUUCAACUAAGCCAACCAACUCCGUCGCGCCGGAAAUCGCAUUUGGAGGCGGCGGAGGUCCAAAACCUCCAAACAACACAUCAAUAUGCUCGUUGCAGUCCCCUCUUCCAUAAUCAACCAUCACUUUUCUUUAAUUCCUGCUCAAUCUCCCAAACUGAGGCUAAAAAAAUGAACCCUAAAUUAUGGAAUCAAGAAUUAAGUGUAGCAAUGGAGGAAUCAAAGCCCUAUCAUGUUAGGGCUUUGAUUCCUCGGGUCAAACUUCACAUGGUGGCAACGGGAAUUAACACAAAUAGAUGAUGAAUAACUUACCUACGAUUGGUGACUUGUCCCGGUAUUUGCUGUGAUGGAGAAGACGAUGAUGGAGCAAGAAUUCCAGAGACUUCAAAGGGUCAAUGUGAUUCAGGAAUAUGGACAAGGCCAUGGGCAAGUAGACACUUUGAACAAGAUCAAGUUUUAUGGAGGAUUUAUGAACAAAAAGAGAUGUCUUGUGGGAGAAGACAAUAUGGGAAUUAGGGUUGCAGGACUAGGAAGUUGACUUUGGUCAACUGGUUAACCAAAAAGUCAACAGUUGACUAGAGUCAACUAUAGGUCACAAUUUGUAGUUUUUGUGUAAAGUUUGUAACUUGGAUUUUGAAUGAUGCUUUGUAAGGAAAUGGUUCUCUUUGAAUGAAUGUGACUUAUGUAUUGAGAAAGA
Long non-coding RNA from Lathyrus oleraceus (garden pea), 883 nucleotides. RefSeq lists it as uncharacterized. The transcript is spliced from 2 exons. The record is from RefSeq and is a predicted model, not a curated record. Lineage: Eukaryota; Viridiplantae; Streptophyta; Magnoliopsida; Fabales; Fabaceae.